RNAcentral lists this long non-coding RNA (233 nucleotides) under Chinchilla lanigera (long-tailed chinchilla). Its description in RNAcentral is "lncRNA (ENSCLAG00000026954.1)". Lineage: Eukaryota; Metazoa; Chordata; Mammalia; Rodentia; Chinchillidae. The record is from RNAcentral.
ACUUAUAUCUGUUUCUGCUUUCUUCAUAGGUUCUAGUAUUGUAUAUUUAAAAAAAAAACUGACACAAGAGGAGAUCGAUCACACUGGACCUCGACCUUUCCUGGAACAUGAUGCCAUCCCAUUUUCAGUCUGCAGCAGGAGUCAAGUAAAAGAGACUUCCAGUGAGGUAAACUAAAACAAUAAAACAAACUGAAAAAAAUGAUUGCAGGGAAGUUCUUUACAGAUUAAACUUU